Molecule: ribosomal RNA, 330 nt
Filed under: uncultured myxomycete
Lineage: Eukaryota; Evosea; Eumycetozoa
Description: bacterial SSU rRNA
Rfam family: Eukaryotic small subunit ribosomal RNA
Source: RNAcentral
UCUCUCUGAAUCUGCGAACGGCUCAUUAAAUCAGUUAUCAGUCUAUUUGAUAGUACCUUACUACUUGGAUAACCGUGGUAAUUCUAGAGCUAAUACAUGCUAAAAGGCCCGACUUCGGAAGGGUUGUAUUUAUUAGAUUAAAAACCAAUGCCCUCUGGGCUCCCUGGUGAUUCAUAUAACUUCUCGAAUCGCAUGGCCUUGUGCCGACGAUGGUUCAUUCGAAUUUCUGCCCUAUCAACUUUCGACGGCUGGGUAAUGGCCAGCCGUGGUGACAACGGGUAACGGAGGGUUAGGGCUCGACCCCUGGAGAGUGGGCCUGAGAGAUUGAGC